Molecule: ribosomal RNA, 727 nt
Filed under: uncultured Achromobacter sp.
Lineage: Bacteria; Pseudomonadati; Pseudomonadota; Betaproteobacteria; Burkholderiales; Alcaligenaceae
Description: bacterial SSU rRNA
Rfam family: Bacterial small subunit ribosomal RNA
Source: RNAcentral
CUCAGAUUGAACGCUAGCGGGAUGCCUUACACAUGCAAGUCGAACGGCAGCACGGACUUCGGUCUGGUGGCGAGUGGCGAACGGGUGAGUAACGUAUCGGAACGUGCCUAGUAGCGGGGGAUAACUACGCGAAAGCGUAGCUAAUACCGCAUACGCCCUACGGGGGAAAGCAGGGGAUCGCAAGACCUUGCACUAUUAGAGCGGCCGAUAUCGGAUUAGCUAGUUGGUGGGGUAACGGCUCACCAAGGCGACGAUCCGUAGCUGGUUUGAGAGGACGACCAGCCACACUGGGACUGAGACACGGCCCAGACUCCUACGGGAGGCAGCAGUGGGGAAUUUUGGACAAUGGGGGAAACCCUGAUCCAGCCAUCCCGCGUGUGCGAUGAAGGCCUUCGGGUUGUAAAGCACUUUUGGCAGGAAAGAAACGUCGCGGGUUAAUACCCCGCGAAACUGACGGUACCUGCAGAAUAAGCACCGGCUAACUACGUGCCAGCAGCCGCGGUAAUACGUAGGGUGCAAGCGUUAAUCGGAAUUACUGGGCGUAAAGCGUGCGCAGGCGGUUCGGAAAGAAAGAUGUGAAAUCCCAGAGCUUAACUUUGGAACUGCAUUUUUAACUACCGAGCUAGAGUGUGUCAGAGGGAGGUGGAAUUCCGCGUGUAGCAGUGAAAUGCGUAGAUAUGCGGAGGAACACCGAUGGCGAAGGCAGCCUCCUGGGAUAACACUGACG